CAAACAUACAAUCACAAAUACAGCCGCCUGAGCAAGAAUGCAUCUAGAGACUGACCAUCAAGUAAAGGAAAAUUCUUACACUCAUUCUCUGCUGGGAAACUAUUUCAUUUAUUGCUGUGGCCUUUCUUUCUGGUGCUUAUUAACCAAUAUUCUAAAAUUAGUUUGGUAUCAUAGUCUGUUUAUAUCUCUACAGUCAUGUUUGGUCACAGACUGUGUAUCCAUGUUCUGCCUUCCCAAGUGAUUAUACUUCCAUAAAUCAUUUGGCAUAAAUAAUGUUGCCAUUGAAGAGCUGUUGAUCUUUGGACUCAUCCUCCUGUAGAUGUGUCUAUUGUGGUGCAGAGGCGAUGUUCUUCUGUUCUAUGUGGUUGUCUUUGGUGCUUGAUCAACAGGAUUCCUUCCAUAGCUGGUAAGGCUGGACUACUAGUUGUGUUGCCUCAGCCUUACACAGGCUAUGGCACUCACCAAAACAGAAUAUUUCAUUUUGAAGGGCCUUUUGAAGGAGUUGCUUUCCAGUGGGUAUUCCAUUUGUAUUUUUUAUUUUUUUAAAUGGAGGAAGGAGCGCGACGCAAGACAGUUUGGGCAAUAGCGGCAUAAAAAGAUUAUUUCCUGGUCACCAUUGGUGAGUGUGAGUGUACUAAACCACCAGGAAACCAGCAGGAGAGAGUCUGAUGUUUUGAAAAGCUCUUUGAAAAUGAAAACCAAGGCGUGUGUUAAGACAGACAAAACUUCAGUCUAUAUACAUCCUCUCCACUCUCAGGAUGCUGCUUUUUCAGUAGCGCUAAAUCAAAGCGCUAAUAUAUUUCAUGCUGUAUUAUUGCAUCAAUGCAGCUCCUUUUUGCAGGAUCACCAGAUACUUUUUAAUUUUGCAUAUUUAUUAUCCAAUUUUUCAUGCUUGUCUGGUGAAACAUAAAACUUUGUCAGCGAGCACCAUGCUGCUCCCACUGCCAAACAAAUCUCAUAACGAACAGUUAAGGCACAGGAUAAAAUUGCGGUAUGAGGGUAGUAAUUUAAUAGGGAGUCAAUUGGAACUGAUGGCAGAGACUGUAGUAUUGCGCUGGCACUGAAGGACUUGCAGCUCGAAGUGAGCAGUAGUCAGUUACAGAUUGUUUGUUCAAAGAGGGGACUUCUCAAGUGAAUGUGGUAAUUCUUUCUCUCUUUUUUCUUUUUUUUUUUAAGUAGUGCCCCAUUAAAACAACUGCCAUGAAAUUGAAUAGAGUGUUUAUGUGCUGCUUAGUGGGCCUAAAGCCAGCCCUGUCACCUUGGGCUUGUCAACAUCUCUCCUUGUCAUUUCCUUUAACCAAAUGCCCUCUCGGAUGUCUGUCCAUUUAUUAAAAACCCAUAAACCAAUUUCCCCACAACCCCCAAAUACACACACAUACUCACAGAUCCUGUUCCCUCUUUCAUAUUUGGCAGUUAAGUCACUGUUGCGAUACACUGGUAUCCCUAGAGCGCUUUUUUUUUUCUCCAUUGAGACUCUUUUUUUGUGUACUCUGCUGGUUGAACACAGAAAGAGCCUUUUAAUCCAAGCUAUUAUCAGAUCUCAGUGAAGGCACACAAUUAAUUUUAGGCCAGAUCAUGAUUGCAUAGGAAUGCACAUUGAGGGCUUUUAUUUAUUAUUAUUAUUAUUAUUUAAAUGAAUCUGAAGCGCAUAGGGAAAUAUCCAGAUGUACAUUCGUCCGAAUGAAAACAAAUGUACGUGCUGUUAAGCUUGCAUAAGACUUGCAAACUUCAGUAAAAGAUGGGUCAGCACAAAGCAUCAAUACAAUAUCUUGUCCUGUUCCUUUGAUGCAUACAAGGUGCUGAAGGCCUAACUGUGAGAUAACCUCUGGUAGACAUGUAAUUGAUUAGUUGUAUAGAUUCUAAAAAGGUCUCUGCUUCCAGCUGCUCAAAUGUAAAGAUUAGUUCAUUUUCUCUGUAUUCUGUUUGCCUCCGUCUUUUUUUACUGUUUGUUGAACGAAACCAGAAAAUUGAAGAUUGUAUUGAAGGCUUCUGGGAAAUUGAGAUGGGUAUUUAUGACUAUUUUCUCUCUAUUUCUGCAAUCACCUUCUUUCAUACAAUACAUUUAACUCUGAUCUAUACUGCUGUAUGCUGCUGCAUACUUACCAAAAAGACGUUUUAUACUGCAUUGACUGUCUGCAUAGGCACACCUGUUCAUACCUUUGCCUUUGCGUACAGUCCUUUGCAACCAUGCACAUGCCGAAAAUUUAAACUUUGGCGUAAAUGCAUUGUGCAAAUGAAAAACCCGGCCUUUCGUGUCCUCAAUAACCCUGCACAGUGGUGUCCUAACUACUGGGUGCUGCACAGCUGCUCCGAGCUGGCAUGACAUCUAGAUGGUUCUGUGGCUGCAGCUCUGCCAACGCUCAGACAUUAAGAGUUUUGUCACACAGCAACCCACCCAUGCAAAACUAAUUUAAGUGUAAUAUCUAUUUAAAGCACCAUUUUAGGGCUGCAAGUAAUGAUUAUUUUCAGUAUGGAUUAAUCUCUUAAUUCUUUUUUAUGAUGAUAGUGAGAAUAAUUUUUUUUAAAAUAACAAUAAUAAAAUGGUAAAAAAAAAAAAGGUUCAGCUGGAAGUUCAAAGUGAUCAAGGUCAAAUUGCCUCUUUUAUCUGGACAGCAGUUCAAGAUAUUCAAUUUGCAUUGAUACAAGAUGGAGAAAAUCAGCAAAUCCUCACAGAAGCAGGUCGAUUAAUUUAUUAGUAACAUUUUACAUAUUAUGGCAAGACAACAGUCAACGCAGUAGUUCAACAAGGGCUUUUCCUUUUUUCUUAACUGAUGAUACCAGACCAUAAUAACAGUAUUAGAAGUAGUAGAAGCCUAGAUUAUAUUUUCAUCACUGUAUGGCUUAGUAAAUAAAUGGUUAAGAGUCAGUGAAGCAUUUUGUAAAGGUUGUUAUCCUCUGAUGAAUAGAGUUUUGGGACUUGAGCUAUUAUUAGCUUUAGAGAGGGAGUAGCCAAGACAUGGUGUCAACUUCUUAAUUCAAAAGAUUGUACACCUGGUGUCCAGCUUUUCCGGCAUGCACACAUCUCUGUAAAGCUGGCCUUUUGUACCGCUUAUUAACUGGCCGUCAGAUGCGGUGAGUGUGCAGACAGUGAGAUAGGCCGCAGACGCACAUCCGGCUGCUGGCAGCCAAUUAAAAUUUCCUGUGAGUCACAUUUACCUCGCAUAUCUUUCAGUCAAGGGUGUGUGUGUGUGUGUGUGUGUGUGUGUGUGUGUGUGUGUGUGUGUGUGUGUGUGUGUGUGUGUGUGUGUGUGUGUGUGUGUGUGUGUGUGUGUGUGUGUGUGUGUGUGUGUGUGUGUGUGUGUGUGUGUGUGUGUGUGUGUGUGUGUGUGUGUGUGUGUGUGUGUGGCAAGCUGUUUUUAUAUGUAACCCGCAUGUUGUUUUUGAGCGUGGAUGUAUAAAAUAAAUGAAGAAUGAUGUGUCUUUCAGCAUGAGAGAUCAUUAAGGCAGGGCUCUGGAGGAACAUGCCAUCUUUCUGUUUCCUGAGGGAUCCAUUCUGGCAGCCACCAGCUAUACUUGGAUCUAAAUAUAUUCAACCCUCUCGUUGACAAAGGGAACCAUGGGCAGAAAUUGCUGUAAGCAUAGAGAAAAAGUUUUCCAGAUUCCAGAUCCGGCUGGCGAAGAAUCAGAAUGGCUCGCCAAGGCCGGUCCGCAAUACAGUCAUUGGUUCUUUAAUCAUGAUUGGAGACGGCACUUCCCACAGCACCACACACGGGUUCUGUUGGGCAGCAGCUUGUGCACCCGGGAUACCUCAUGGACCUCGACAAAGGUCACUUACUGUAACUUCUCAACCAUGCGAUUGCUCUGUCCACCCCUGUAUACACAUCUGUCCUUCUGAACAGAACUGUCCAAGACAACGCCCCUGGCAUGAAUUGGCUGAUGUGGUCAAGAUGAAGUCACAGUAUUUAGAAAAGCCCCACAGGACUGCUCCAAAGUCCUUGUCUGCUUGUCAUCAGUAAAAGUAAAUCAUGUCAUGUCAAAUUAUGCAUUUUCUAUUUUACUAGAGGCUUGUGGACAAAUUGGAUUGUUUUUUAUCUCUAGGGUUGUCACUUUUUUAGGAAGUCAUUUGAAAUUAGUUUGAACUUAAAAUGUAUUUUUAUAUGCUGUAUGAAUGAAUUCAAAUGCAAUUCGUAUAGCAUGUUUAUGAGAUUCUGAUGAGAGUCCAGAGGAUAAGUGUGGUGGUAAGUAGUCAGACAAGGUUGUACAGUUGGCAUUAGUCCACUCGUUUCUGAAGCCUCCGCUGCCUUACCUGGGUGGCAGCUAGUGGAUGAGCCCUCAGAUUCAUUGACGAGGAAGGUGGAUGCAAAGUCGGCAAACAGCCAUAUCUUUGUUGGUAAUAUUACCAUCUAUGCUGCACUUACACACACUGCUUCUCAGAUGCUUCGAUGUUGUGAUUAUCCAAUCGGCACAGCUUUGCUCCUCCCAUUUUUAUUUAUUUGCUUAGUUUACUGAUCAACAGAGCACACAAUAGAUCAAGCUGAAGUUUAAGAGCCUCUGCUGGAGCAUGAGGCCAACUACAUCAAACAGUCUCUUGUGCUUACAGUUCUAAUAUUUCAUUUUGUCCCUUGUUUGAAUUUUAAAUAAAACAUGACAGCCUAAUCGCCUCCUGAUCGCUGUUUUAUAAUGCUGGAAGUGAGGUAUGAACACUGCAUUUGUGAAUUACUGUACCAACCUUACAAUCGAGAGUUGAAAGUACUUCUCUUCCUUCUUUUUCUGAAUGAUGAAGGGUCAACUUCUCAACACUAAUACUUUUACUAAAAGGUAACUGCAAAAGAUGAAGUGGGCCAACAGGCUGUCACUGUAAGCAGUGGUAUUAUCUUCUGGGGAAAGAAGUUGUUUUUAUAGCCUCUGUUGUGUUGGUAUCUCUUAGUUACUCUCUCAGCACAAAGAUCAGUAUGUCAUUUUUCUACUUGUCUUCCCAUUUCUGCCUUCACUCUCUCUCUGUAUUAUUGGACUCAUCCCACAUAUUUUUGUUCGUUUCAACCACAGGGAGUAAGUUAGUCGGGGCAUGUCCUCUUAGCAAGUCUGUGCUAGCCUGUGAGUUUGCAAGCCCCAUCUGCUCCUAUAAAAGUCAUACUUCAUCCGAAGUCUUUUGAGUAUCAAACACACUAUCGACAUUGUAGAUUUCUCCUUCAUGAACACUGACCUUGGAUUCAUGCGUGUCAUGUCAAGCAUAAUUCACAUCUCAGCUGUCCACCUCUAUGCUUAGUGUGUGGCCUUGUUUACCCAGCAUGCACCUGUCUGGCAGGGUGAAGGCAGUCAGGAAGACACACUGUGUUGACUUUUGUGAGGUAUGAAGGCUUUUCAUGCAAAGAAAAUGGGUUGAAAAAUGUGAAUCCAUGUGUUAAAAUGGCUGUAUAAUUGGAUUUUUCUUUUAAAUUGCAUUCUAUUGGUAAUCCUGUAAGCAGUGAGUGGUACAAAAGCACAGACUGACUGUAUGUUAGGAACACUGUGGCUUGGUGAGCCAGUGAGAUUACUCCAGUGAGUAUCCCUGCACAACAAUGAACAUGUGGGCUGCAAACACAAAGAUAAACUUAAGUUCUAUGAUCACAAAGCUCCUUCAGAUGCAGAAGCAUCAUAUUAUUUACACUGUGUUCGUAAUAGUUUAAUAGAAUGCAUUUAGACUAAGUCCCGAUGACCAGAAGGGAAUUUAAGAGGCAUUACCAGUCCUAAUAUUUUAAACAAUGGCUGCUUUGCUUGUGAGUUGCAGAUACUGACCAAACCUGUCAGAAUUAUCACAUGUCAAAGCAGUUUUCUAAUCUCAUCAGACAAGUCUAAUGAGUAAAAUCAUGUCAAAGUGCUUGCCAUUCCAUUAUUGAUAUUACCAUGAUGAAUAUUUUGGAGCAGUGCCGAUUCUGCCAUGGUAACGUUUUUUCUCCAGCUCACUGUCUUCUCUUAAAUGUGUGUAAACUUCCUCCCUCAAUAGAUGUUUCUCUUGGCCUGCGCUGCAGCUGAAGUCUCUGUGACUGCACCGCUGCCUGGAUGUCAGCCCUCGUAGUGAUGCAAGCAAUUUGGCUGAACCUGUUCAACCCUCAAAAACACAUGCAGGAGGAGUCACUUAAGGACUUGCAGUGCACAAGUGCACCAAUAUCUACAUAUACAUAUAAAUACACAUCUGUCCGAGUCACAAACAAAGGCAGAAUUUAAUGGAUGGUUGAUAGAGGAGGUGGAGAUGAAGGAGGGGGGGUGCUUAAAGAGGAAUGUACAGCAGCUGUUCUGAUUCUUGGAAGUGAUGCAGGUUGCAAUGUCUGCGUGUUCUGAGUGUUCUGGCGUCUGUUGACUCACUGUGCAGAUAAAACCUCCUUAUCGAAGCUCUGCCUACCCCCUCACUCUCUUAAUGGUUUCAAGCUGUAAUGUGUGUCCCAAGCCAAAGAUGGCAUGUAAAUACAGUGUGCGGGAGUCAGGUAGGACACCGUACGCUCGGAUAUGUUUGUUUGUCAUGCACUGAGGUUGAAAAAGACAUGAGAAGCAUAAGGACUCCGGGAGCCGCCAGUGUUUUCUGCUCAGUGUCAAGCUCAACAUGUUCUCUUCUUGACGGCUGUGGUUGUUAUUGUUUUUAAUACCACCUACCGUGGUAUAAUUAUAUGGGGUGUCAUUGGAAGUUGCCAUAAAGAGACUUUAGGAGAGGAGUGCACCAUUGGCUGCUGGAAAAUAUUCCAAAAUUGCUACCACACAUUAAUAUGGAACACAAUCAUUAAAAAUUAUACUUAAAAAAAACAUUUAAUUGUCUGUAUUCAUGCAAAACUGACCCUGGCUUCCUCAGAUGGAAACAAUCCUUUUGAUAAUGAAUGAAAAAAGACUGAAGAAGUUUCUUUGCUUUAAACAUUUAAACCAUAACUGAAUAAUGAUGAUAAUGAUAAUGAUAAUGAUAAUAAUAAUAAUAAUAAUAAAGCAGUCUGGCUGUUACUUUGAGUGGGAAAACCAAACAAGUAAUAUCAGAGUUUUACCCCCAACUACCCUCAACCUCUUCUGAACAUGUUUUGGAAAAUUUGAUCUAAUAUCAAAAUGUUCGAGUGUCAGUAUCAUUGUGGUUAAGUGAGCUUUCAAUUUGAUGAUCAGUUUUCCCUAUGGCAAGAAUCUGCCGGGGUUUUAACUUUCUUCCCAGUUUUGACACAAGAUUGUUCUGCCACAUCUGGCGGUGGCGUUUUUAAUAACUCCAUAAUAAAAAUCAAAAGUUUUGCUCCGUUCACAAGAGACCCUGAGCUCAGUUACAGAGUAAAUGAUGAUGAUGUCAGCUUAUUAACGAUUCCACAACUUGAAGCAUUUAGUUUUUGUCAGGUGGUCAGUGGAAAAAAUAAACUUAUUUUUUUUUGCAUUUUGAUUGUGCAGAAGCCAGACAAAAGUGACAAAUUUAUAUUUUACAAGGACUGGACACUUUCCAUAUCCCACCACUUAAGAAGUCUGCUUUGACAUCUACCACUUGUAGCAGCCUCAUUAUCCCUGUGUUUCAGCCACAAUCAUGUUGAGUUAUGAAAAUGCAUGGAGCCCAUCCAGUGAAGCCAGGUUUCUGAACGGCCACAUGGAAAUUUGUUGAAACAAGUCCGCUGGCAAAUGCUGCUUCAGAGCAUGCUUAAUUGUUCCUAUUUUGCCUGUUGCAUGUGAACAUGGCACAGCAGGUUGUGUUUAAGUUGUCACCACACUGAUGAUGCGGAAACCCGACCUUGAAACUUGUUCACUGAGCGUACCCCACCAGUAUGCAUGCGGCUCUCCUCUUCAUUUAAGAUAUUGCCGUGUCUGAACCCCGGCGACAUCACUUCUUAUCCUUGUUCCAGCAGCAGUUUCCUAUCAGAUUUGCAUUUCCGUGAAAGCCAACUGAAGAACACACAGUAGAAAUGAUGGCCCAUUCUUUUUUUGCUUCAUUUCCUUACUAGAAAGAUGAGCCUUGAGCUUGUCAUUAUGAUAAUGAUGUAGAACAGAAAAUCACGGCUACCAACAGGUGGCCUCCAGAUGAAGGCCCAGGACCUGCCUGUUUCUGCUGUGUUUAGGAUCGGUGCUAUUAUUAAGAAGGGCUUGUUUCCACUGUUUUUUAGAGUAGUGUUAUUCAAAUAAGAGCAAGGCUAUAGGAAAAAUUAGCUGGAAAACUAUCUGGACAGUAGUAAUGGCACAUACUGUAAGCAGGGUGAGUAAAUGAGCCUCGGUGAAAUUAUAUCCAUAUGUGUUUCUGAUACUUCUUAAACUUCUCUUCUGCAAUAGUUGACGAGAAUGAUGAAAUGAUCAUAGACUAUCGCUACCAAGAACAACAAAAAGUAGUAAUGUUAAAGCAAUAAAAACAUACAAAUAACAGAAUAAAUCAUUGUUUUAAUGUGAAUGUGCUAAUUAUGUUAGACAACAUUGCAGGUAAGAGUUUUAUUCAUUUUAUUCUCUUUUUAGUGUUGCAUCUGAAUCAUACCACAAAAAAAAGGCCAAAUACAUAAUUUAAUAAAUGAGCCUUUUUUUCUUUUGCUUUUGGAAAACGCAGUGAUUUCCAACCAGGAGGCAUUGUAGAAUGACUGUGGUGUCUCUCAGCUAAUUAAAAGAAUAGAAAAGAUGAUCUCUCAUUCAAAUUAAAUGUAAAAAGCUAAGCAUUCAGGAUGGACUGAAACCCAAAGGUGGUGUGAGACGCAUUCUAGCCAGAUGUUGGAAAGGUAAAUGCAGAAGUCUCUCCAAGACGCAUACGGUGGAAAUAUCAACUCACAUGUCUGUUUUUCUUAAUGCAUCCAUGGUCUGUCUCCUCUGGCCUUUUCAUAACGACGGCUAACAUUACAUUAAAAUUAGUCAUUGUUCUCCGUUUCAUCAAAGUAACAUGGAUAAAUGGCGAGUACAGCUCACAAUAUGAUCAAACACAAGGUGCACCGUGUUGCUGUGGCAUUUAUCUGAUCCCUGAUCAGUUCAACUGCAGAUCAACCAUCUGUGUGGGUGAGAGAGUAGUGUGUGUUGUAAACUAACGUUAGCUAAUAGUAUAUAUCCUACUAUAGGUACUGUAGAUAUAGUAGGAUACAGACAUUGUAUUUGUCUUGCUAAUUUAGCCUUAUUUUUUCUUAUGCAUUGAUUUUACUCCCCUGAUUCUAGUAGUUGUAAUAGUUAUAUUAUUGUUCCAGUACUAAAUAUAUAAGUGAGCAAUGUGUAUUCACUUUUUUGAGUAAUUUAAUGCUAAUAAGAGACAAACAGACGGUAAGAGAAAAAAGUAGUAGUGUCAUAAAGUUGAGCGCUAACCAUUUGCAAACACACUCAUGUGCGUGUCAAGGAUCUCAUGACACCCAUUGGUGAUUGGCCAUUAUGUCUUAGCAAUAACUGCUAUUAACAUGUCAAAUGUUUGAAAAUUCAACAAAUGAGAAUUCCAAAUAGAGAACAUUAUUAGUCUGUAGCAUGUUGGAAAUUAUGCAGGAAAAUGAUUUUUUGACAGGAUGGGAACCCCUGCUGUGUGCCAGAGGAUUGUUCCCAGGAAAAACAUACCAGACACUGCGUGUUUAGAACAGCAGAUGUAAAACCUUUGAUGAACUGGCUGUUCAUUCAAUCAGAAUUUAUUUAUUUUUGUUAUAUCAGUUGGUGGGAGAUUAAUGAAACAAAAUGUCAUGCAAUAUUAUUGCGAGCCUACAUAUUAUUUAGAUUCAGGUGGUGGAUUUUUCCCUUUCUUUGGUGAGACCUGGCCAGAUUUGACACCCAGCGCAGUGGUGAGCAGACUCUUACUUUAUCUGAAUCUGUGGUCUGAAGCAGGGCCAGGGAUGGGGCGGACGUCUGCUAGCGAUUAGCACACAGACGGACCGGGCUCAUGCCUGUGUUUCCCUUUCGGUUGAGGGGUCUCAGCCAGUAUCUGCUCACUGGCCCACCACAACACUCUUAAUAUUUUUGGCCCACUGUCACACACACACACACACACACACACACACACACACACACACACACACACACACACACACACACACACACACACACACACACAUGCACUGGAAACAAUCAAAGUAGAAGAAAAUGGCACAGGAAGAAAGUGGCCAGAGGUUUGGGCCCCACUCCCCGCAUUCUUAUUAUUGUAGCCCAUGUCUGUAAUUACAAUGUUAACACUGCGCUCUGUGGACCGAACCAGCGGGACUUUGUGGAGAGAGAGAAAACGUGGGGCAGGAGAGAGCCGGAUAAAGAUUGGAUUCAGGAAAGGGGGGAUUUGAGGUGGGGGGAGGGGGGCCUUUGGCCAAUGUGCGUGUGUUGUGACUCUGUCAUGUGUGGUGCUGCAGCAGUGUUUCGGUGGUUAUAUCAGUGGAAAAUUACUCAUGGGUGUUUUUCGUUGACUGGUCCAGCUCCUCUUUCUCUCUCCUGGUUGUCGCUGGUGAAAAGUAUGGCGUAAUGCAACACUGCGAAAUCGAUCCUUGACUUCGGUUAAAGCAUUUGGGUAAUAUAUCUAAAUCAGAAGUGUAAAUUGUUGAAGGCCAUUUGUGGUUUACCAAAUAAUUUUAAGGUAUAGUAAUCUCCCCUCUGUGCCUCCUCUAAUCACCCUUCCUCCCCCCACCCCCCACUUUACUGUCUGCUACUGACUUCUUUUCCAUUCUUCCUCCUGGCAGUAGGUAGUGCUCACAUUCCACAGCUAGGCACUGGAGAUUUCUCAAAUUCUUCCCAGUGUCACUCACCAGUGAAAAGUGGCCAAAUCCACACUUGACUCAUUGAAAAAUCAUAUAGGCUCAUAGUUCUGACUCUGAGAUAUAAAGGCGCAUUGUGAAUAUUAGCCGCGGUUGUUCUGUUGCUUUUGAACGAGACAGACUUGCCAGUGUUGUGUCUCCCAUACAGAUCAAACACAUGAGAUUAAUUACCAGAGACGGCUGAAAAUGGGUGCACAAUACAAAUGAGGAAGGGAAAUCGCACUCUCCUGUUCCAUCUCUCCCAUCCAGACACUAUUGGCUAAACACUAAUUCGGUACCAUAUAAUAAUGAUGAUGAUGAUGACAAUUUUUGUUAUGAGACGAGCCCUCUAAAAGCAAAAGGCACUUUAGAUUGGACCGCUUUUUGCUUUUUUAGGCCAGGUCGUCAGUUUUCCACUGGAGAGGACGGUUUAGUUAAAGAGCCUUGGCCAGAGGUGUGGGCAGAUUGAGAUCAUCGAGGUCAGCCUCUAGGCCGAUAGCAGGACUGAGUGGAAAAGGCAUGAGUGUCUGAAGUCACAAGGGCACAAAGACAUCCAAGAGGUCCGCUCUGAUACAACACACACCACUAGAUAGUCUUUUGCCCAUGGAUUCUCCAGGUCCUUUAAAAGUCAGUUAUAAAUCAUGAAGUAAGUCACAGAAAUUGAAUCCAAACCAAAAAGUAAUAAAAAGGUUUCAUCAAUCUUUUCUUUUGAAACAGCUCUUAACAUUAAUAGAAAACACAUUUACUGGAGUGUUUUUUCUUGCAAUACUUAGAAAUUCCCUUUCAGACGUGAUUUUCAUUUGUUAAAGAUUAUUUAUGUUCAGUAAUUUCCUUGUAUUUCUUACAUUUGAACACUUGAACUUUGACUGUGUUCAGUUUUGAAGUUUUGACAUCUUGAGUUUACAGUUUGGCCAACACAGAGUCUUUUAACUUCAGGAAAACUAACUUCAGCAACUUCAGUAUAAAACACAUCUGAAAAACAUAUAUUCAUUUUUCAAAAAAAUUAAACUAUUGUUUUUGGACUGGUUGGGUGUUUCCAGUGGAUGGUAUCUGGGGAUAUUUUAGAGUCGGCAUGGCUAGCAGAUUUGCUGUCAACCUUGUUGUGGUGCCAGCUAGGCUAACUAGUAGGGAUGUAACGAUACACUCAACUCACGAUUCGAUGCGGUUUACGAUUUUUUGUUCACGAUACGAUUUUCUCACAAUUGUUUUUUUUUUUUAUCAAAAUGAGCUACAGACAAAUUAUGACCAAAUAAAAUAAUCUUUUAUUCGUAGGAAUAAACUCUGUAAAACAGUUUGUGUCCUCUUAUAAAAAGUGCAACUUACAUGGUCAUCUUAAACAACAAAAUACAUGAAAAAUAUCUCCUUCUUUAGAAACAACCUCACAAGUAAACUGGUGUUAACUGGUGUAAUUCAAUAUCUUAAAUAACAAAAGAAUAUAAAAUCUUGACCAAAAAAAGAGGUCCUUUCUUAACAGAAACACUGUUAAACACUGUUUUUGUGUCUUGUGAAAAAAAAGUGCAACUGAAGUAGUUAUUCACUUAAACAAUAAAGAAUAACUGGAUUUUUAAAAACAAAUCCCACAUCAAAAUAAUAACAUCAAAACAUAAAAUCUCUUCAAAUAAACUAAGACUGGCUUGUGUAGCUUGAAACUUUCAGGUUUCUCUUGAGGAAAAUCAACAUGUCAACAUUCUCAGGCCGAAGCUGAGAUCUUUGUGAGGUUACAACAUCCCCUGCGGUCGAGAAGACCCUUCGACUAGGGACAGAGGUGGCUGGUGUGGUGAGGUAAGCCUUUGCUAGAGGUGAAAGCAGUGGGUAAAACUUACUGUUCUCCUUCCACCAUUUGAGUGGGCAGCUUGUGAGGGAAAUAGACAUUUCACUUCUGUACCUGACAAUUUCUGCUUCAAUCCCACACAUGUGAUUGGUCUGUGCUGCCCCUACACUUUCUGUGAAACUGAAAGUCCCUUCUAGGAGAUCUUCCAGUGCAGUCUUCUUGAGAGGUGGUUGUUGAAGGUCUGCAUCCACUAUGUCUGCCUGGUCAGCAGGCAGAGCCAGAAAUCUUUUCUCUGAAAUCUUUUCCAAUAAAAUAACCAAUUGCCCUGGUCAUUUCUUGCGCUCUUGCGUUGUUAUGGGGGAGAGGAGAUGCAAAGCUUCUCGUCAGGGUGGUUUGCCCCCUCUGCAAUUUUUGCUCACGAGGUGGUGUAACGUUACUUUGCUUCUCACUGUGGUGGCGGCUAAUAUGCUGCUGCAUGUUGCUUGUGUUGCCGGUAUAUGUUAGCAGUCUCUUGCAAUAUUUACAUGCCGUUUGGUUUUGUCUGUCCAUUUCUCACCGGUUGUAUUUGUGUAUAUGGGGAAUCCAAAAUGCCGCCACACAGGUGAUUUAAAACCGCUCGGUGCGUCCUCUAUUUCAAAGUUGUUGCCUACCGUCGCCAUGUCUUCCCUCGUUCUGUGCCCCGUACCUACGUAGGGACGUAAGUCACGUGACUUGACGUCCUACGUUGAACAAAUGAAUCACCAACCAGUGACUUUUUUUUUUAAGAUAACGUAACCUAUUUCUGGGAAAAAAAAAAAAAGAACGCAUCCUACUUCUCUCGCAUCCGCGAUUAAUUUUUUCUGUCAACCGGUGCGAAUCGUCACACAUUUGUACCGAUUUUGUUAUCGUGUCACGAUGCAUCGUUACAUCCCUACUAACUAGCUUCCACUUGGAAAUUUGAGGCUUGUUAACCUAGUUUGCUAACGUUAGCACUGAUUCCCACAUCACCUGCAUAACAACACAGCUGCUGCACUGGUGGCGUCCAUGUUCUUUCCGACUCGUAAUGCCCAAAGAAAAAUGGAAUGCUAUAAGUGGUACAAGCCAGGAAAUUACGUCACGUUCUCGCGGCAGAGCAACUCGGGCGGGGGAUUUACGACACAAAUGGAUAGCACCAUGAGUAUUGUGUUCGUCCCACAUUUUUCGAAGGAGGCAAGUCUUGCUAGCGUUAAUGGCCUUUCUUUUAUGGUUCUAACUGUAGUGACGGCAAAUGACCAGACUGCCAGAACUCACAGCAACACAGUGCUGUAACCUCGACGCUCUGUACGUUACACAGUGAUAUGAAUCAGCACACAAAGUAAUAAAGGUAGGGUUGGAGAGUAAUGUGGAGAUUGCUCAAAGGACAGAUGGGACUAAGCAACAGCUAACAGUGUGGACCCCUGCAGCUGGUUGACUGCCUGUGUGACCAUUUAGAAUUGAAGCAAUAUUACAAAUUAUUUUUACUGACAGUCCACGCAAAUUUUACCCCUAACUAAGUUACAUUACCGACAUCAUCAAUUGGUAACCAUGAUGAAUAAACAAGAAUUCCAGAUAUGUCAGACUAAAUUAUUUUGACUGGUGUGUGACUGUCACAUUGACUUCUAUACAACUGAACGGCUUAUGUAUGUUUGUAAAAGAGACAGUAGAUUUAGGACAUGGAUGACUUUUCUCAUUUUGCACAGUAUUGAUGCGAGCCAGAUGCAGCCGUCUCCGUGCUCCUGUAGGAAUGUCACGGGUACUGGGACGCAUUAAACAUGUUUCCUGUUGUGGAAGUUUUGUAAAGUUCUGCAGCAGGGGGUUUGUGUUAGUUUCCUUCUUCAUAGCUUCCUCGUAUUCUGUUAUAUCUUGUGGUGACUUUUAAGGUGGUUUAAUGAAAUUGUGGUGCUGUCUUGUGACACCACCAUAAAGCUCCACUUUUUGUCUAGUAUUUGUUUUUGCUUUCAUAAAACUUCAAGACAGUGGAAUGAACUCUUUUUUUUUCAUUAUCCCACACUGUUUUGAUUAUAGUACGUGGGUAGGAGAUGUUUGCUUUUUUGAGCCAUGCAAAUGCUGCAAAAUCAAAUCAGUUUCUGACGUGACAGUUAUACAAUAAGAAGAGGACUUAAUAUCAUUUUUACACUAAUCUAAGUUCUCACACAACACUGCCAAAGACGACUGUUAUCGAAAUGAUUAUUAAAUAAUUCAAUACCCCAUCUCCGUCAUAAGUACAGUAUGAUGCAUGGCCUAAACAGGACUUACAACAACAACUUGCAUGUAGAGUCGGAUUGUGCUUUCACAGUCACUUACUUUUGUUUGUUUAACGUGGUUUCCAUUCUAAGUCAUAAAUUCCAAUCUGUUUACUUCAAAUAUACUACUACUACAGUGUAGCCUGCUGAGUAAGAACCCUCCUUACAAAAAACAGUUUGGAUAUUCCAUCCAGAGGAACCACCCCUUUUGUUAUGUUAUACACAAUUUUAUAGGACCUUUAAAUCCACUGAUUGAUUUUUACUAGCUUACUGUCUACUCAUACAUGCAGCCGUCUGUGGGAUGCUCACAAAGAGCUGUCAUUGAGUUGGAGUGUGUACAGUAGUAGUAGUAGUAGUGUGUCUGUUUGUACACACUAAUGCACAGUCGGCGGUACAGUGUGGCUGCAGGGCACAAAGGUAGAGUGUGUGUCUGUGUGUCUGUCUGUCAGGGAGUAAUUGAGAUGAAUCGGUUUUAAUGGGUCUUUAUGGGAUGUUUGGAGUUAUUUCUGUCUGAGGUCUCCUCUGGCGUCCUGGCUCCUCUGGAGGAUGGCUUGGCCUCCACCCAGUGCUGAGGCUGUUCUACACUUUCUCCUCUGCGCUUUCAUUCUUGUGCUCUCUCACCCUCCCUCUCUCACUGGUUCUCACUUUGCCUCUCUCUGUCGUGAGAGAGGGCGAGCGAUUGUAUGGCACCAAAAGAGUGAGUGAAUGUUUGUGUUUCCUCCCGCCCUGCUUCCCUCUCUCAGCGCUGUGACUUAACAGGGGCUCCGGUUUGCCGAGCACUCACCACUCUCUGCUAAUCGCAGAGUUCCACUUUAAAAGGACCCAGCGAGUAGUCAAGCCUCGUCCUGACUCUCAUUUGUCACGGAGAUCACAUGGUGGUGCAUGAGUUAGGACCCUGUGGUGGCCGCGCAAUUACAGGGCUGGCGGAAGGGAGCGAAGCCAGCGCAUCCAGCGGCAAGGACGACUCCUCGGUGGCGGCACAGAACUAAACUUUCUCUUCCUGUCACAUUUUGAUGGACGGCCUGAGGGAAGAGGAGGAAUACUAUAUGGGAAGGCGGGGAGUUACUUACAGUCUAGAGGGGUUGUGUGUGUGUGUGUGUGUGUGUGUGUGUGUGUGUGUGUGUGUGUGUGUGUGUGUGUGUGUGUGUGUGUGUGUGUGCGCGUGCACGCAUACAGUACAAGCACAGCAGAUUUUGUUUUUGUCAUCAACCCUAUUUUUAAAUUAUUCUCAACCAAUUUAGUGUUGUAAAAAUACAGAUCCAACAAAUAAGUGUUGGCAACUUCUUCUGGAAAGACUUGCAUGGUGUUUUGAAAACUUUUAAAGCACAUUAUGUGAUUCUGCACCAGUCUAACCGCAGCCCAGUUUAGCUCCAAGUAUGGACUGUUUUUAUUCACUUCUCAUCCACAUAGUCUGUACACUGUCCUUUUUAGAAUGAGUUAGUGCUCUGUGAUAACUAUAUACUGUGUAAAUGCAUACUGUGCAAAUAUGCCACUGUUUUUCUAGAUCUCUUUUUUACCUCUAUAUGUCUCCUUUUCACUAAGAUGACACUUUAAUGGCAAAAUGCCACAACAGCAUGUGCAACAGUAGGCAACCUGUGAAAGUAGCUUGCCGUCACUGUCAGAAAAUGUAAAUCAAUCAAACCCGAAUAAACGUAUGAAAAGCUGUUUGUGUCUGCAAGUUUGUACUUGCACAGACUAUAUACACAUGCAUAUGUGGCUGUGUGGCGUGCACGCACAUACCUUUGUAGGGCCCCCAUCUGCUUAUGUGCGUGAGUGUGUAUGUGAUUGUGUAUAUAUAUGCCAUGGAAGAGUGAAAGCCCUGACCUUAGCCUCUGAGGCCAUGCCAGGUCAUUGGCCGCCAGCCUCUGAGUGGUGAGGCCGCACAGUGGGGAGCGCUGGGUCUGAGAGUGUAGACUGUAUGAAAGCAGAGAAGGAUAAAUGGAUGGUUUGGGGGAUGGAUGGAGGGAGGAGCAAAGAGAAAAUGGGUGACGAGGAUGAGACAAACCACAGCACAGAGGAACGAUGGAGUCAGGAAGGAGGGAGCCUGAUGGAGGAAGAGACAGAUUGUAGUGAAGACGGAGCGAAGGCAGCAGGAUGAGCUCCAUGCUGCUCAUUAGGUUUGGGUGUGUAUGGGAAUGGCAGUAAACAUGACAUUUCCCCUGCAGCCAGCGGAACGACUCCGGCAUCUAAUGACAGCCCUGCAGCACAAUGAGUAGUAAAGCUGCAGCCACCAGAGCUGUCGCCCCGCCCAAUUCUACCAACAGCCGCCACCAACCAGGAGCCCUCAUUUUGACUCGGAGCCCGAGCCGGGGAAGGGAAGAGGAUGUAGCCAGCAGCUUACAGAAGUGAGAUGCUGGCUUGGUGAAUACAGAACAGGAAUGGGCCUCAGAUAUUUCACCAGCUAGUAAGAAGAUACAAUCUAAUGUUAGUGUGAAUGCUAGCCAGCCGCAGUUCCAACUAUAUUAUCUUACCAGAUUGAACCUCUAACCUGAGAAGCACAUUCAAGUUUUUUUUUACACAUAAAUCCAGAAGUUGCAUAAAGCAGUUACAAGUUUAUCUGCUCAGACUUUUGUUUUGUGUUUGCCACCCUUCACUGAAAUGAAACUGGUGUCACUGAGGUGAUGCCAUAGUGUCCUAGCUGGCACUUAAAUCAAGCACAGUUCCGGGUGUGUAUCCUUGUUUUGUCAUGUAAUUAUUGUCUGGGAAAAUUUUAGUAGUAAAUGACAAGUUGACUAAUUUAUAGCCUGACUUCUGAGGAGAUUGUUUGCUUUUCUCAGAAGCUAGACAGUGUUAGGAAACAUUCAAAAUUGAUGCUAGACUUAGUCUAAGAAUAUUCUGCAGAGGAAUCAUGAAAAUAGAAUUAAACAAAACCUAAAACUAAUAUAUUGCAACCUCACAAAUCAGCUUCCUAGUCACUGGAAUUGCUCAAUACAGCAACGCACUGAGUUCUCAUUUGCAGUAUUUUCAUGCUUAUCCAUUUGUCAUAACCCAUUAACCCACAGCUGUUGUUUUACAAUAAAAACUCCCUUUGACAUUGGUUAUUGAAAGAGCUCCUGCCUCACUAGCAGGAUGGCAUCUGUUUCAAACUGAAGCCACAUUCAGGACCUGUUUAGCCUCACACUCUGUUCCAGCCUCUAUCCUCAACUCACCUUCUUUUUUCCGCCACUGGUGUUGAUUGUCCACCAUUUUCCACUGUCACUAUCUACCUUAAGCUUGGUGCACAUCUUCUCGCUGUUCUUAUUUUGGUAAGAGAAUGCUGUUUGAUUCACAAGAGGACAUGAGCCACUCGGUAAUAAACUCAUCGGGCAUGAGUCCAUGGUGUAAAACCAUAACAAAGAGACCCACCUGCCAACACGUCCUCCUGAGGUUGUAUUGAAAGAUUCAUGACACAUAUAACUGUUCUGUCCUCACUCGGGGCAUAUAAUUUCUCCCCUUGGAUGCAUCUAACUGAUCAUCUUCCUGCAGUUACCGAUGUACUUCCUGUGGCUCCACCACUGUCUUUAAAGUAACGUUUUUGCCCCUGUUGAGAUAUCCAAUUUUACUGACAUGAAAGGUGGCUUUCAUGGGUAAAUACGAUGACUGGUUGACUUUUGAGAAAAGGGUCAAACCACACGACGAGAGUGGAUGGUUCUGUCUCUUUAAAACCCAUCCAACAACCGGAAGCAACUGGGUUAAAAGCUACAGCCACAAUUACUAUGUAGAAGUCAGAGUGCGGUCACAGUCUCCUGUCAGAGAUGUAAAAAUGACUCUGUGUUAGUGUCUCACUUUUUCUUUUUUGUGUGUAAUUGGACCUCAGGCCGCGAGGUGAGUUGAAUGAGUUGGACAGUUGAGGUGUACGACCGGCCAUGAGUAGGUUGCAGUCUGACAACAGAAGCCAUUAUAUUUGCCCUUUUGCAUAGACUGAAUUCACUAAAUACAAUGAAGCGGAAAGAGAAACUAUAACCAAAAAUAGAAUAGAAAAUGUAGUCAAAUGUAAAACUGCUUGUGUUUUACUUUUUAUAUUAAUUGAGAAAAUGUAACUGUGUAUAUUUUUAUUUUUUUUCCUUUUCCUCUGUGACUGAAAUGCAGUGACUUCAUCUCGUCAUGCAAACUGCAUUACCUACUGUAGUAAGGCACCCGGUGCCACUUUGCUGUCCCAGACAUUACCACAUUUUGCCAUUUUUUUAACAUAUUGUCAUAUUAUGCACUGGCAUGCAGCACUAUUUCUAGCUAGUGGACUCUUUGCCAGUGACUGUCACAUGUGUUUAAGCAGCAGGCUUAUGGGACAGGUCUAUUAACUGGGUCAUGAGUUUUCCCUGGCCCCAGAGUCUGAAAUUCUAUCCCACGAUAUUGUAAAAACAGUGGCAGGCUCCUUUUGUGUCAGAAGCAUCUGAAGAAUGCACUCCUAAUGCAGUCAGAGUACUAUGAUGGGUCUCCCUUCAGAGAGAUGACCAGCAGGGAUAUCCGCGUGAUGCUGGUGUCACAGUGUAAAUUGGAAGUUGUGUGUGUGUGUGUGUGUGUGUGUGUGUGUGUGUGUGUGUGUGUGUGUGUGUGUGUGUGUGUGUGUGUGUGUGUGUGUGUGUGUGUGUGUGUGUGUGUGUGUGUGUGUGUGUGUGUGUGUGUGUGUGUGUGUGUGUGUGUGUUAGAU
This is a long non-coding RNA of Dicentrarchus labrax (European seabass), 19218 nucleotides long. RefSeq lists it as uncharacterized. Lineage: Eukaryota; Metazoa; Chordata; Actinopteri; Moronidae. The transcript is spliced from 2 exons. The record is from RefSeq and is a predicted model, not a curated record.